GAUGAACGCUGGCGGCGUGCCUAAUACAUGCAAGUCGAGCGAACAGACGAGGAGCUUGCUCCUCUGACGUUAGCGGCGGACGGGUGAGUAACACGUGGAUAACCUACCUAUAAGACUGGGAUAACUUCGGGAAACCGGAGCUAAUACCGGAUAAUAUAUUGAACCGCAUGGUUCAAUAGUGAAAGACGGUUUUGCUGUCACUUAUAGAUGGAUCCGCGCCGCAUUAGCUAGUUGGUAAGGUAACGGCUUACCAAGGCAACGAUGCGUAGCCGACCUGAGAGGGUGAUCGGCCACACUGGAACUGAGACACGGUCCAGACUCCUACGGGAGGCAGCAGUAGGGAAUCUUCCGCAAUGGGCGAAAGCAUGACGGAGCAACGCCGCGUGAGUGAUGAAGGUCUUCGGAUCGUAAAACUCUGUUAUUAGGGAAGAAAAAAUGUGUAAGUAACUAUGCACGUCUUGACGGUACCUAAUCAGAAAGCCACGGCUAACUACGUG
This 497-nucleotide ribosomal RNA is filed under the name uncultured bacterium. RNAcentral describes it as "partial 16S ribosomal RNA". It matches the Rfam family "Bacterial small subunit ribosomal RNA", at positions 28 to 507 of the family's 1533-position model. The record is from RNAcentral.